CCUUUCGAACGCGACCUCAAAUCAAACAAGACAACCCGCU
Molecule: ribosomal RNA, 40 nt
Filed under: Wallago attu
Lineage: Eukaryota; Metazoa; Chordata; Actinopteri; Siluriformes; Siluridae
Description: partial 28S ribosomal RNA
Source: RNAcentral